GUGUCGACAAUGAUGGCUCUACAAUCCAAACACGUGUCGACAAUGAUGGCGGAACAGACCAUAGUACAGCAGGCCCUACAAUAAUGGAGGAUGAACAGAAAGAAAAUGACAUAGAAUGCGGAUCGAAUAUGAUAUUGGACUUUUUCAAUGAAUGUUCAAGUGCAACAAGUGUGGGAAUGAACAUCAUGGUAUUUGGACUUUGCUUACUCGGAGCACUUUAUAUCACAGCUUGAUGGAUCAAGUGUUAAUCAGAAGUCAUUUUAAAAUUUAAAUUGUUGUCUGGGUUUUUUUAAUAACUUCACGGAUCAGGG
Long non-coding RNA from Mytilus trossulus (common blue mussel), 311 nucleotides. RefSeq lists it as uncharacterized. Lineage: Eukaryota; Metazoa; Mollusca; Bivalvia; Mytilida; Mytilidae. The record is from RefSeq and is a predicted model, not a curated record. The transcript has 3 exons.